Molecule: long non-coding RNA, 190 nt
Organism: Ostrea edulis (European flat oyster)
Lineage: Eukaryota; Metazoa; Mollusca; Bivalvia; Ostreida; Ostreidae
Exons: 4
Source: RefSeq, a predicted model, not a curated record
CCCAACACCCAACGUAGUGGACAUGGUGUUAGCCAGGAUAAUGAUACAGAUUUCUCAGCAUCUACUAUCAGCAAAGAAAGCCAUGAAACUCAAGAUGGUGGUCACAAUUCAGAAAUCCCUCAAACUGUUUCCAAGCAAAGUGAUGUAGCUGAAGAUUCUAAAAGCAGCGUUGUCAUCGUUUACAUGAACG